AGGGCGGGACACGUGAUAUCCUGUCUGAAUAUGGGGGGACCAUCCUCCAAGGCUAAAUACUACUGACUGACCGAUAGUGAACCAGUACCGUGAGGGAAAGGCGAAAAGAACCCCUGUGAGGGGAGUGAAAUAGAACCUGAAACCGUGUACGUACAAGCAGUAGGAGCAGGCUUUGUCCUGUGACUGCGUACCUUUUGUAUAAUGGGUCAGCGACUUAUAUUCAGUGGCAAGGUUAACCAUCUAGGGGAGCCGUAGGGAAACCGAGUCUUAACUGGGCGUUCAGUCUCUGGAUAUAGACCCGAAACCAGGUGAUCUAGCCAUGGGCAGGUUGAAGGUUGAGUAACAUCAACUGGAGGACCGAACCGACUAAUGUUGAAAAAUUAGCGGAUGACUUGUGGCUAGGGGUGAAAGGCCAAUCAAACCUGGAGAUAGCUGGUUCUCCCCGAAAGCUAUUUAGGUAGCGCCUCGGACGAAUACUACUGGGGGUAGAGCACUGUUAAGGCUAGGGGGUCAUCCCGACUUACCAACCCUUUGCAAACUCCGAAUACCAGUAAGUACUAUCCGGGAGACACACGGCGGGUGCUAACGUCCGUCGUGGAGAGGGAAACAACCCAGACCGCCAGCUAAGGUCCCAAAUUACUACUAAGUGGGAAACGAUGUGGGAAGGCUCAGACAGCCAGGAUGUUGGCUUAGAAGCAGCCAUCAUUUAAAGAAAGCGUAAUAGCUCACUGGUCGAGUCGGCCUGCGCGGAAGAUGUAACGGGGCUAAGUAGUAAACCGAAGCUGCGGCAAUGUGCUUUUGCACAUUGGGUAGGGGAGCGUUCUGUAAGCGGUUGAAGGUGUGUGGUAACGCAUGCUGGACGUAUCAGAAGUGCGAAUGCUGACAUGAGUAACGAUAAAGGGGGUGAAAAACCUCCUCGCCGGAAGACCAAGGGUUCCUGUCCAACGUUAAUCGGGGCAGGGUAAGUCGACCCCUAAGGCGAGGCCGAAAGGCGUAGUCGAUGGGAAACGGGUUAAUAUUCCCGUACUUCUUACAAUUGCGAUGGGGGGACGGAGAAGGCUAGGUGGGCCUGGCGACGGUUGUCCAGGUUCAAGUGCGUAGGCUUAAGA
RNAcentral lists this ribosomal RNA (1109 nucleotides) under Vibrio parahaemolyticus. RNAcentral's name for it is "partial 23S ribosomal RNA". It matches the Rfam family "Bacterial large subunit ribosomal RNA", at positions 414 to 1531 of the family's 2925-position model. Lineage: Bacteria; Pseudomonadati; Pseudomonadota; Gammaproteobacteria; Vibrionales; Vibrionaceae. The record is from RNAcentral.